GGGUGAGUAACGCGUGGAUAACCUGCCUUGUACAGGGGGAUAACACCUGGAAACAGGUGCUAAGACCGCAUAAGCGCACAGACCCGCAUGGGACAGUGUGAAAAACUCCGGUGGUACAAGAUGGAUCCGCGUCUGAUUAGCCAGUUGGCGGGGUAACGGCCCACCAAAGCGACGAUCAGUAGCCGGCCUGAGAGGGUGAACGGCCACAUUGGGACUGAGACACGGCCCAAACUCCUACGGGAGGCAGCAGUGGGGAAUAUUGCACAAUGGGGGAAACCCUGAUGCAGCAACGCCGCGUGAGUGAAGAAGUAAUUCGUUAUGUAAAGCUCUAUCAGCAGGGAAGAAAAUGACGGUACCUGAGUAAGCAGCCCCGGCUAACUACGUGCCAGCAGCCGCGGUAAUACGUAGGGGGCAAGCGUUAUCCGGAUUUACUGGGUGUAAAGGGAGCGUAGACGGUAAAGCAAGUCUGAAGUGAAAUGCCAGUGCUCAACACUGGAACUGCUUUGGAAACUGUUUGGCUGGAGUGCAGGAGAGGUAAGUGGAAUUCCUAGUGUAGCGGUGAAAUGCGUAGAUAUUAGGAGGAACACCAGUGGCGAAGGCGGCUUACUGGACUGUAACUGACGUUGAGGCUCGAAAGCGUGGGGAGCAAACAGGAUUAGAUACCCUGGUAGUCCACGCGGUAAACGAU
Molecule: ribosomal RNA, 688 nt
Filed under: uncultured bacterium
Lineage: Bacteria
Description: bacterial SSU rRNA
Rfam family: Bacterial small subunit ribosomal RNA
Source: RNAcentral